UUGUGUUAACAGGAUAUGCAGCGCUUAUUUUGUUGAAUUUGUUUUCAGAGUCUGUGUGUUUUUGCUUUUGUAUUGUGUCUGCAUUUGCAGGAGAAAGGAGACAGGGGGGUUGGCAGGACUCCAGGACUCUGUAGCAGAUCCAGCAGAAGUGGGUCCAGGUCCAGAUCCUGCUCGAAGUCUGCAAGGGCAUCUAUCACAGCAUGAGUGCUAAUGCUAGCUCAGCGGCAGGAAGGAUUCGAACCAGACUCCUCUCACCUGGAGAGCUUCACCUUGCGGCGGUAGACCAACGAAUCGGACCACUAGAGCCCUUCCCACUCAGCUUCUCUCUCAGCUCUUCACCCAUCAACUUCCGCUGAUUCAACCAAUCACGAGCGGAGCUAGGCGGGCCACAGUCGGUCGACCAAUCAGCGCCUUGUCUGACGACGUUGGCUAGCGUCUGCCGUCAUUCGACGUGACCUGAGCGGAGGAGAGCAGAGCGGCGGACAAACAAACACGGAAAAAACGAGUAAAAAUACGGAGUAAAAUCAACGUUUGAGUCGCCGUUUCGUCGCCUCAGUUUGUUAACACACGAAGACUCUUCAUCACCGAGGAAAUCUGGAUAUUAAAACGAGCUUUGGAGCUGUUUUUGUCGAACACGAGUGAGGCUGGACGCUGAGCACACGUGCGACGCUAAGGUUUUUCCAGGCCUUUCCAGGUCUCCCUCUCCAGCUGCUGCAGCCUGGACAGAAACACCAGCUCUCACACACCACAGAGGUGUCACCACUUCAUCCAGAGUGCAGAGACCAGGACCAGGAUCCACCACGGAGACCUUCAGGUGAAUUCACAGAAACGUCUGGAUCCACUGAAGGUGAAGGAGGAGGAGGAAGCAGCUGAUGAAAGAAAACCACAGAGUGAUGAAGCUGUUGAUCACAGACAGACUGACAGACCUGCUGCUUCUAACAACAACAAGACACUGAACUCAACUGGAGACACUUUGUUUUAUUGUCCCACCAACAUGUGAUGGAGCUGUGAGCUUAUUUCACACUAACACGUCUCCAUCAAACAUCUUUAACAACACAAAACUGUUUAUGAUCAAUGAUUGUAUCAUGAACAGUUAAAUGUCGUUAACGUGUUCGUCUGUAAAAUGAGCUCACGGCUCCGUCACAGUGGGAAUAAAAACAAAGUGU
This is a long non-coding RNA of Lates calcarifer (barramundi perch), 1166 nucleotides long. RefSeq lists it as uncharacterized. The record is from RefSeq and is a predicted model, not a curated record. The transcript has 6 exons. NCBI's taxonomy places the organism in Eukaryota, Metazoa, Chordata, Actinopteri, Centropomidae.